RNAcentral lists this ribosomal RNA (2918 nucleotides) under epibiont metagenome. RNAcentral describes it as "bacterial LSU rRNA". It matches the Rfam family "Bacterial large subunit ribosomal RNA". The record is from RNAcentral.
AGAAGAUAUUAAGGGCAGACGGUGGAUGCCUUGGCACAUAGAGGCGAUGAAGGACGUACUAGAUUGCGAUAAGCUACGAUGAGCUGUCAAGAAGCUUUGACUCGUAGAUUUCCGAAUGGGGCAACCCACUAUGUCGUGAGGCAUAGUAUCCCGAAAGGGAGGCGAACGUAGGGAAGUGAAACAUCUCAGUACCUACAGGAGAAGAAAUCAAAAGAGAUACCCAAAGUAGUGGCGAGCGAAAUGGGUUCAGCCCGAGUUUGUGUAGCUUAAGAGAUAGCCAAAUUAUCUGGAAAGUUAAGCCAUAGAGAGUGAAAGCCUCGUAAGCAAAAUCUUUCAAGUGAGACUAAGCAGACUCCUAGCGAGUAGGUCGGGACACGUGGAACCCUGACUGAAGAUGGGUGGACCACCAUCCAAGGCUAAAUACUACUGUGUGACCGAUAGCGAACAAGUACCGUGAGGGAAAGGUGAAAAGAACCGCGGAAGCGGAGUGAAAUAGAACCUGAAACCGUCUGCCUACAAUCAUUGGGAGUCCGAUUACAUACUUUUUUGGUGUGUAUGGAUGACCGACUGCCUUUUGCAUAAUGAGCCUGCGAGUUGUGGCAAGUUGCAAGGUUAAGAUAAUUCGAAGCCGUAGCGAGAGCGAGUCUGAACAGGGCGAUUAGUAACUUACUGCAGACCCGAAACUAAGUGAUCUAUCCAUGGGCAGGUUGAAACCGGUGUAAGAGCCGGCGGAGGACCGAACCGGUGGAGGUUUAAAACUCCUCGGAUGACCUGUGGAUAGGGGUGAAAGGCCAAUCAAACUUAGUGAUAGCUGGUUCUCCGCGAAAUAUAUUUAGGUAUAGCCUCUGUUUUGAAGCAUAGGGGGGUAGAGCACUGAUUCGGCUAGGGCUGCCUACCGCGGUACCAAACCGAGUCAAACUCCGAAUACCCUAUGUCGAUGACAGGGAGUCAGGUGGCGGGUGAUAAAAUCCGUCAUCGAGAGGGAAACAGCCCAGACUACCAGCUAAGGUCCCCAAGUCCUACUUAAGUGGAAAAGGAGGUAGGAUUGCUCAGACAACCAGGAGGUUGGCUUAGAAGCAGCCACCCUUUAAAGAAAGCGUAAUAGCUCACUGGUCUAUUAGAGAUUUUUAUCUCUGCGAUCCUGCGCCGAAAAUAUAACGGGGCUAAAGUAGGCACCGAAGCUGUAGAUUACUAUUUUGUGGUAGUGGUAGCGGAGCGUUCUUGUCAGCGUUGAAGGUGUACUGGUGAGGAGCACUGGAGCGACAAGGAGUGAGUAUGCAGGCAUGAGUAGCGAUAAAACAGGUGAGAAUCCUGUUCGCCGAAAACCCAAGGUUUCCUACACGAUGCUCGUCAAUGUAGGGUUAGUCGGGACCUAAGCCGAGUCCGAAAGGGGUAGGCGAUGGAAAAUCGGUUAAUAUUCCGAUACCGACCAACAAGCGUGAUGGGGGGACGCAUAGGGCUAAGCGAGGCAACUGAUGGAAUAGUUGCUCGAAGGGUGUAGGUCGUUGUCCAGGCAAAUCCGGACAACAUUGAGAUCGAGACCCGACAGGCUCUCUGAACUCUUCGGAGGGAUGAGAGAAUCGCUGAUGCCGUCGUGCCAAGAAAAGCCUCUAAGCAUAUUGUUGGUUGCCCGUACCAUAAACCGACACAGGUGGGUGAGAUGAGUAUUCUAAGGCGCGUGGAAGAACCCUGGUCAAGGAACUCUGCAAGUUGGCACCGUAAGUUCGCGAGAAGGUGUGCCUACUCGGGUGAAGCCCCUGGCGGGUGGAGCCUGAGAGGUUGCAACAAAGAGUCCCUCCCGACUGUUUAUCAAAAACACAGCACUAUGCUAACAAGUAAUUGGAUGUAUAUGGUGUGACGCCUGCCCGGUGCCGGAAGGUUAAAUGAUGGGGUUAGCCGUAAGGCGAAGCUCUUGAUUGAAGCCCCGGUAAACGGCGGCCGUAACUAUAACGGUCCUAAGGUAGCGAAAUUCCUUGUCGGUUAAAUACCGACCUGCAUGAAUGGCGUAACGAGAUGGGAGCUGUCUCGACCAGGGAUCCAGUGAAAUUGUAGUGGAGGUGAAAAUUCCUCCUACCCGCGGCAAGACGGAAAGACCCCGUGGACCUUUACUACAGCUUGACACUGCAGAUGGGAUAUGGAUGUGCAGGAUAGGUGGGAGGCUUUGAAACCCAGACGCCAGUUUGGGUGGAGCCACCCUUGAGAUACCACCCUUCCAUAUUCUGUCUGCUAACUUGCAUCAGUAAUCCUGAUGGAGGACAAUGUCUGGUGGGUAGUUUGACUGGGGCGGUCGCCUCAUAAAGAGUAACUGAGGCUUACAAAGGUUGACUCAUACCGGUUGGAAAUCGGUAGUAGAGUGUAAUGGCACAAGUCAGCUUGACUGAGAGACAGACAAGUCGAUCAGAGACGAAAGUCGGUCAUAGUGAUCCGGUGGUUCUGAGUGGAAGGACCAUCGCUCAAAGGAUAAAAGGUACCCCGGGGAUAACAGGCUGAUCUCCCCCAAGAGCUCACAUCGACGGGGAGGUUUGGCACCUCGAUGUCGGCUCAUCGCAUCCUGGGGCUGAAGCAGGUCCCAAGGGUAUGGCUGUUCGCCAUUUAAAGCGGUACGCGAGCUGGGUUCAGAACGUCGUGAGACAGUUCGGUCCCUAUCUGCCGUGGGCGUUGGAAAGUUGAGGAGAGUUGUCCCUAGUACGAGAGGACCGGGAUGAACGAACCACUGGUGUACCAGUUGUCCUGCCAAGGGCACCGCUGGGUAGCUAUGUUCGGAUGUGAUAACCGCUGAAAGCAUCUAAGCGGGAAGCCAACUCCAAGAUGAACUUUCCCUAAACUCCCUUGAAGACUACAAGGUUGAUAGGCUGGAUGUGUAAGUGGUGUAAGCCAUUUAGCUGACCAGUACUAAUAGAGUUUAUGUUCUUCUUCUG